RNAcentral lists this ribosomal RNA (119 nucleotides) under Helianthus annuus (common sunflower). Lineage: Eukaryota; Viridiplantae; Streptophyta; Magnoliopsida; Asterales; Asteraceae. The record is from RNAcentral.
GGUUGCGAUCAUACCAGCACUAAUGCACCGGAUCCCAUCAGAACUCCGCAGUUAAGCGUGCUUGGGCUAGAGUAGUACUAGGAUGGGUGACCCCCUGGGAAGUCCUCGUGUUGCAACCC